This 86-nucleotide transfer RNA is filed under the name Bacteriophage sp. Its description in RNAcentral is "tRNA-Asn". It matches the Rfam family "tRNA". Rfam says of the family: Transfer RNA (tRNA) molecules are approximately 80 nucleotides in length. Their secondary structure includes four short double-helical elements and three loops (D, anti-codon, and T loops). Further hydrogen bonds mediate the characteristic L-shaped molecular structure. tRNAs have two regions of fundamental functional importance: the anti-codon, which is responsible for specific mRNA codon recognition, and the 3' end, to which the tRNAs corresponding amino acid is attached (by aminoacyl-tRNA synthetases). tRNAs cope with the degeneracy of the genetic code in two manners: having more than one tRNA (with a specific anti-codon) for a particular amino acid; and 'wobble' base-pairing, i.e. permitting non-standard base-pairing at the 3rd anti-codon position. The record is from RNAcentral.
GUACGUUUGGCUGAGUGGACGAAAGCAGUAGGCUGUUAACCUACCAGGAGGUAUCCUCAUUAUAGGUUCGAAUCCUAUAGCGUGCG